ACUCCGUGCCAGCAGCCGCGGUAAUACGGAGGGGGUUAGCGUUGUUCGGAAUUACUGGGCGUAAAGCGCGCGUAGGCGGAUUGGAAAGUUGGGGGUGAAAUCCCGGGGCUCAACCCCGGAACUGCCUCCAAAACUAUCAGUCUAGAGUUCGAGAGAGGUGAGUGGAAUUCCGAGUGUAGAGGUGAAAUUCGUAGAUAUUCGGAGGAACACCAGUGGCGAAGGCGGCUCACUGGCUCGAUACUGACGCUGAGGUGCGAAAGUGUGGGGAGCAAACAGGAUUAGAUACCCUGGUAGUCCACACCGUAAACGAUGAAUGCCAGACGUCGGGGGGC
Molecule: ribosomal RNA, 332 nt
Filed under: uncultured Paracoccaceae bacterium
Lineage: Bacteria; Pseudomonadati; Pseudomonadota; Alphaproteobacteria; Rhodobacterales; Paracoccaceae
Description: bacterial SSU rRNA
Rfam family: Bacterial small subunit ribosomal RNA
Source: RNAcentral